This 255-nucleotide ribosomal RNA is filed under the name Escherichia marmotae. RNAcentral's name for it is "partial 16S ribosomal RNA". It matches the Rfam family "Bacterial small subunit ribosomal RNA", at positions 56 to 307 of the family's 1533-position model. The record is from RNAcentral. Lineage: Bacteria; Pseudomonadati; Pseudomonadota; Gammaproteobacteria; Enterobacterales; Enterobacteriaceae.
UGCAAGUCGAACGGUAACAGAAAGAAGCUUGCUUCUUUGCUGACGAGUGGCGGACGGGUGAGUAAUGUCUGGGAAACUGCCCGAUGGAGGGGGAUAACUACUGGAAACGGUAGCUAAUACCGCAUAAUGUCGCAAGACCAAAGAGGGGGACCUUCGGGCCUCUUGCCAUCGGAUGUGCCCAGAUGGGAUUAGCUAGUAGGCGGGGUAACGGCCCACCUAGGCGACGAUCUCUAGCUGGUCUGAGAGGAUGACCAG